GACUUUCACAGCCCUGUUAGCGUUAGCGCUGUGCUAGCGGGUUGCUGCUGUGUUACUGGCGUGUCUCAGUGAUAUUUACUGAAAAAGAGGCGGAAGGCCCGAAUCUCGCCGGUCAAGGUUACCUUCGAAGUCGACCGUGCCGUCGCCGUUGUCGUCGGCCUCUUUGACGAUGGCGUCGAUCUCCCUCCUGCUCAUGUGCUCGCCCAUUAACUUGAUCAUGGCCGACCGCAACUCUUCCGUGGUGAUCUCGCCGUCGCCGUCCGCGUCAAACUAGAAAAGCAGACGAGCGCUAGCGGCGUUUUUCAGCUCCUUCACGCCAAUCAUGCCGGCCGUUUCCGCCAGAAGUUUGGGCGCCAUCAGAUCCACAAAGUCCUCGAAGUCCACUCUGCCGCCGACUGGACGUCAAAAGUGAGGAAAAUGCAUCAUACGUAUGUAUUUAAUACAUUUUUAUACAGCUUACGCUCAGUAAAGUUUUCCACCAUGAUGGGUUUUGUCAUGUAGAAAAAAAAAAAAUAAAGUCAAAUUCAGAAUAUAAUAAUGCACUAUUCAUUUGAACACAUAUGUACAGUACAUACAUUAUUAUGGAAUAAUGUUAUCAUUUUAAGCGCGAGCAUUAUUAGUACUUCUUUGAGGUAUUACAGUGUGGUACGUGUACCACGAUGGCUUCACAGUCUCCCUCUAGUGUUGCGUCAAGGCAUCACGACCUAGAUACAGUUCAAUUGCAUUUCCCUUUUUUUUUUUUGCUCAGUAUAUUUGCAUUUUAUCUACAAGAACUGAUUUUUUUUUUUACUUUUAUGAAGGGUAAUUUUUUAUAUUAAAGUCCAAUACAUUUCCACUAAAUCAUUAUUAAAUUAGUUUUAAGUGAUGAGGAAAUUGAGCACAAUGGUACAGUGCAAUUGCAAUAAUAUUACAUAUGCUUUUUAUGAAUAAAACAGGUAUUGCUUUUAAACAAUUAGGCCUCGUACAUUACUGCACUCUAUUUUAAUAUUGGCCAUGGUGGUGAUAGAGUAGAGAUAUAUAAUAUAAUAUAA
Long non-coding RNA from Syngnathoides biaculeatus (alligator pipefish), 1031 nucleotides. RefSeq lists it as uncharacterized. The record is from RefSeq and is a predicted model, not a curated record. Lineage: Eukaryota; Metazoa; Chordata; Actinopteri; Syngnathiformes; Syngnathidae. The transcript is spliced from 3 exons.